This is a long non-coding RNA of Pongo pygmaeus (Bornean orangutan), 268 nucleotides long. RefSeq lists it as uncharacterized. The record is from RefSeq and is a predicted model, not a curated record. The transcript is spliced from 3 exons. NCBI's taxonomy places the organism in Eukaryota, Metazoa, Chordata, Mammalia, Primates, Hominidae.
GCUGGUCCAGGACUUUGGCAUUGGAGAGACCUGAGUUCAAAUCCCAGCUCCACUAGUGUAUAGGUUGAAGAGAGACCCUGCAAACAAGCCCGAGGAAUGUUUAGAGUGAUAAUAGCGAAGAUCUACUGACCACUUAAUAUUGUGCCAAGUACUCUGUUGACCAAGAGGGAGCACGAUGAAAGUAAAAAGCAUUAAUCAAAAUAACCCAAAGAAUAAUUUUAAUGAUGCCUAAUGGAGGGAUUCAGCUGUUGCCAUCAAGUGUAAAGGU